ACGGGGCGCAGCAGGCGCGAAACCUCCGCAAUGUGAGAAAUCGCGACGGGGGGAUCCCAAGUGCCAUUCUUAACGGGAUGGCUUUUCAUUAGUGUAAAGAGCUUUUGGAAUAAGAGCUGGGCAAGACCGGUGCCAGCAGCCGCGGUAA
Molecule: ribosomal RNA, 148 nt
Filed under: uncultured archaeon
Lineage: Archaea
Description: partial 16S ribosomal RNA
Rfam family: Archaeal small subunit ribosomal RNA
Source: RNAcentral